GACGGAGGGUGCUAGCGUUGUUCGGAAUCACUGGGCGUAAAGGGCGCGUAGGCGGCCAAGCAAGUCGGCUUGUGAAAGCCCGGGGCUCAACCCCGGAGGUGCGGCCGGGACUGCUUGGCUGGAGGCCGGAAGAGGAGGGUGGAAUACCCAGUGUAGAGGUGAAAUUCGUAGAUAUUGGGUGGAACACCGGUGGCGAAAGCGGCUCUCUGGUCCGGUUCUGACGCUGAGGCGCGAAAGCGUGGGGAGCAAACAGG
This 254-nucleotide ribosomal RNA is filed under the name uncultured bacterium. RNAcentral describes it as "partial 16S ribosomal RNA". It matches the Rfam family "Bacterial small subunit ribosomal RNA", at positions 524 to 776 of the family's 1533-position model. The record is from RNAcentral.